CCUCCGGGGGGCAGCAGUGGGGAAUAUUGGACAAUGGGGGGAACCCUGAUCCAGCCAUGCCGCGUGUGUGAAGAAGGCCCUCGGGUUGUAAAGCACUUUCAGUGAGGAAGAACGCCUGGUGGUUAAUACCCAUCAGGAAAGACAUCACUCACAGAAGAAGCACCGGCUAACUCCGUGCCAGCAGCCGCGGUAAUACGGAGGGUGCGAGCGUUAAUCGGAAUUACUGGGCGUAAAGCGCGCGUAGGUGGCUUGAUAAGCCGGUUGUGAAAGCCCCGGGCUCAACCUGGGAACGGCAUCCGGAACUGUCAAGCUAGAGUGCAGGAGAGGAAGGUAGAAUUCCCGGUGUAGCGGUGAAAUGCGUAGAGAUCGGGAGGAAUACCAGUGGCGAAGGCGGCCUUCUGGACUGACACUGACACUGAGGUGCGAAAGCGUGGGUAGCAAACAGGAUUAGAUACCCUGGUAGUC
Molecule: ribosomal RNA, 465 nt
Filed under: Vreelandella stevensii
Lineage: Bacteria; Pseudomonadati; Pseudomonadota; Gammaproteobacteria; Oceanospirillales; Halomonadaceae
Description: partial 16S ribosomal RNA
Rfam family: Bacterial small subunit ribosomal RNA
Source: RNAcentral